This 91-nucleotide transfer RNA is filed under the name Ruegeria sp. HKCCD6604. RNAcentral's name for it is "tRNA-OTHER". It matches the Rfam family "tRNA". Rfam says of the family: Transfer RNA (tRNA) molecules are approximately 80 nucleotides in length. Their secondary structure includes four short double-helical elements and three loops (D, anti-codon, and T loops). Lineage: Bacteria; Pseudomonadati; Pseudomonadota; Alphaproteobacteria; Rhodobacterales; Roseobacteraceae. The record is from RNAcentral.
GGCGUCAUAGUGUAAUGGUAGCACGCCUGCCGAUUAGAGGAUUAUACUUUGAAAGCAGGAAGCGCGGGUUCGAGUCCCGAUGGCGUCACCA